Molecule: ribosomal RNA, 477 nt
Filed under: uncultured bacterium
Lineage: Bacteria
Description: partial 16S ribosomal RNA
Rfam family: Bacterial small subunit ribosomal RNA
Source: RNAcentral
GAUGAACGCUGGCGGCGUGCCUAAUACAUGCAAGUCGAGCGAACAGAUGAGGAGCUUGCUCCUCUGACGUUAGCGGCGGACGGGUGAGUAACACGUGGAUAACCUACCUAUAAGACUGGGAUAACUUCGGGAAACCGGAGCUAAUACCGGAUAAUAUAUUGAACCGCAUGGUUCAAUAGUGAAAGACGGUUUUGCUGUCGCUUGUAGAUGGAUGCGCGCCGCAUUAGCUAGUUGGUAAGGUAACGGCUUACCAAGGCAACGAUGGGUAGCCGGCCGGAGAGGGUGACCGGCAACAGUGGGAAUGAGAAACGGCCAAGAGUGCGAAGGGAGGGAGCAGUGGGGAAUAUUGCACAAUGGGCGAAAGCAUGAUGCAGAGACGUAGGGUGAGGGAUGACGGCCUCCGGGUUGUAAACCUAUUUCAGCAGGGAAGAAGCGAAAGUGACGGUACCUGAAGAAGAAGCACCGGCUAACUACGUG